GGCUAAUAGCAAAGUUAGCAUCCUUACCCUCCUCCUAAUCUGCGGUAUGGUUACCGAUCUGUGCACUUUUCGUAACUUAUAUUGGUUGAUUAUUGACACUUCUAUGAUGGUCAAGUAUUUUAUCAUUGUGAAACAAUAUUGCAAAAAUACUGUAAUAUAGAUCUUAUGAUAUUAGUUAAGCAGUCAUCUGCUGCCCAUUGGUAAAUAUUGUGUGUUUUGAUAAAGAGAAGCAUUGAAGAAGUUGCUUGUGCAUAUAAAGUAUUAAGGUUUUAGAUAAAUUUUUACAUGUAUGCAGUUGAAUUUAUUGAUCAUUUUCUUUCUGGGCAUUUUUUCCUGAAUUAUUAAGUUUUUCCACUGGUAAGUUAAUCUUUUCUUCAUAUGUUUGUGGAUUCUAAAGCAAUGUUGCAAUACUAUAAGUUAUGCCAUUAAGUUGUAGCAUGACAUAUACAUGAUUUUAUCUUAACUGCAUAUUGAAUUUUCUCGAUAUUUUCUUUGAUCAAGCUUUAUACGCAAUACUAGACAAGACUGAGCUAAACAAUAGGUUUGAUUUCAAUAUUAUGUUUUUCUUUCUAUGACAGCAUUGUUUUUCUUGGGAAGCAAAGUGCAAUAUGCUGAAGCCCAAAGGAAAAUUUGCCCACUAGUUUGCCUCAAAGUUGGCUACAUGACUUGCCCAAAAUCUGGUUCUAAGAAGCUUCAUCCAGGCUGCACAAACUGUUGCAAAGUAAAGAAGGGCUGCAAACUUUAUAGAUCUAAUGGAAGCCUAAUUUGUACUGGAAAGUAAUUGGACAUGCGAUAAAUCUUAAAUAAAUUGUCAUAUGUUUAUGCUAUAAACAGGCAAAAUAAUAAAUGAAUCUCUUAUAAUAAAUCCAAGAUUCAGGUUUAAUUGUAUUGAUGGACGUUGUUUCUAUGAAAUUAUCCUUUACAUAAUUACUUCUCUAAGUUUUUUGGGUGAGACUUAGUUGUUGUAUAAUCUUUUAUUCAUCUACUAGCCACCCACCACCCUCGACCUCCUGCAUAAUCAAAAAAUUGUUGUAAAAACAGAAAUUACACACAGCAUGAUGAGGGAGACUACAAAAAUUCAAACGAAAUAAAAGAUAUAUGUACCCAUGGAUCUCUUGAGGACAGAAUUUGCCUCUAGCACAUAUGAAUAGAUCAUGACUGGGUGGGGCUUAUUGUUACACCCACUUUAUUCAUAGUCAAAGUCAAAAUUAUUCAUUCAAAGUCAUCAGUUCAUUUCGUCAAAGUCAAAGUCAAAUAAAGACUUGAUUUGAAAAAGAAAUUCUUAUGGGGACUAUUAUAAGCUAGUGGUAUUUGUUGGAACUAAUUGGUAAUUAUAGAAACAAAUUGGUAAGUUUUAAAUGAAACAUACAGGUUAAAUUGCAAACUAUGGAAAAGUGGAGGGCCUCACUAAUGAAUACAUAAUUAUUUUCCCAUUUAACUUGAGGAGUAGAGAAGACGGAGGGAAAAAAGAAGAAUCAAGGAACGGGAAGAAAAGAAAGGAAAGAGAAGAAAGGAAGAAAAAAGGAAGGAAAGAAAAAGAGAGGAAGAAGAAAGAAUGGAUGACUAAACACUGAUUGAGUUAGGAUUCUUCAACUUCCUCAGUUUCUAGAUGUAAGCAAAAUAUUUACCUCGUUUGGCCCCAUUAAUUCUCGUUAAUUUACAUUUUUUUGGUGUUUUUCAACCAAAUAUCUAGGCCAAAAACACAGCCUCCAGCUUUGUUUGCUACUUACAUCAAGGAUAUAUUUUUUCUCAUUCUUCUCUUCAACCGAUGGGACCUUUUUUCGUCUACUCCAACAAACACUCAGGCUACUAUUAUGGACAAUGAAGGCCCGAAGUGGGGCUACUAUUUACAAACCAUGGUAAGCAGACUGCUUGGUUGUUUCUCCCUUGAGAUCUUGUUUAUAUGCCAAAUCUGAAAGAUUCAAUAUUUUUGGGGAUAAGUGCCGACUUGUUUAGCUAAAACUAAAUCAACAUCUAGUUACAUUUAUUUUAGUUCACAUUUCACUGUUUGUAGAACUACACGGCUCAUUUUUUGGACCCGGUGCCGGUUGCAUCUCCUAUUCAACAGUGUGAGAGGAAGACAAAGACUCGCAAGUCUGCAAAGUGGAACGUUGGGAGCAGAAGAUAUUCGCAAUUACGGCAGAACAUGUCACUACUGAAGGCUAUCAUAGGGAAACGUGUUUAACAAUAACUGGUUGAGAGCACAUCCAUGAUUUGUUCAACAAAAUCUUUAAGGAGGAUUAGACCAUCGCCAAGCUGAAGAACCACUAGGCUGUUAUGUAAAUAGAACACAAGUUUUUCGUCAAGUUGCUCCGAUGCUCUAGAAUUUAGUAUAGUCUUAGCAAUGAGGGCAAAAUUAACUCCCUUGACUGGUGGUUAGAGCAGAAACUGAAGGUAAAACAACGAAUCAAACAACCUGGCUUAAAGAUUGAACCCUAGUUUUUUAUGAAUGUGGGGAUCAAUUUCGUUUAUUGUACUAAUGAUAAGUGUGUUUUGUGCACUUUUUCAAGCCAUAUUACUAAACUUUUAUGUCAUCAAAUUGAUGAAUUUUACUUAACUUGGAUUGCUUUUCUUUUGUUUUAGUAAUGAACUCGUUUGAAGCAAUUGGAAAGAAAAGAAGGAUUAAUUGGCCGUUAAGUAGAAGUUUGUGGACUAAAUCUCACUUGAAUAAAAGCUGGAGGAUCAAAAUCGAGGAGAAAAUGAAGAAAAAGGGCUAACUUGAAUUACAUGGAAGAAUUGAGGCCUUGAAAGAUAAAUUGCAACUAAUUGGGCCUCAAAUUAAUGAAAAGUGAAAAUUUUAUGGGCAAAUUUGGCCCAAUGCCCUAAAAAAAUUACUAAUUUGAUUAGUACCCUAUUUAAUUAAUAAAAUCAUUCAACAACGUAAUUAAUACGUUAUAACCUCUCCCAAACCUCCAAACUCCUGAAGCCUGCAUGAAUGAGGAGAGUAGCAUCGCCACCGUCAUUCACAACUCAAAUUGGUUCCACCAUCAGAUCUCCAAUCGAGAGACCGCUCACUACACCACCUGUACUUGUGAAGUGUUUCACCCUUCUAGGCGAACACCGCCGCACUAUCGUUUGCAAUGGCUGCUGCGACGUGGUCCUGGGUGGAAAUUGGAAAGUAUGUUGCACGAGCACCUGAAGCACUUAGCACUUGAUUAUGUUUUUGUAUACAAAUAUGGUUUUUGUAAUGUUGUUUGUUUAGACUGCUCUGGUGGACUUCUAUUUGAAAAUGGGUCACAUGGACAUUGCACAUCGGAUGUUCAAUGGAAUUGAAGGGAAGAACGUUGUUUCUUGGAAUUAAAUCUAUGAGAUUUAGCAAUGGCUCAGAAUGUGUUUGAUGAAAUGCCAGAGAAGGAUGUGAUAUCUUGGAAUGCAAUGGUUUCAUCAAUACACCAUCCCCUUUGGAGCACCUCAUCUCUCUCUACAUCUCUGCCUUUCUUUGUCUAGAAACACAUUCUAAAUUCUCAUCUAUUCAACUUGUUUAGCAAUAUAUAUACUCUUUUUAUCAGUUUGCUAAAAGGUAAAAGCUAAAUUUCUGUUCAGAUAAUAACUUUAGCAAUGGCUCAAAGUAUGUUCGAUGAAAUGCCAGAUAAGGAUGUGAUAUCUUCGAAUGCAAUGGUUUCUAGUUAUGCAAUGGGCAAGAUUAUGGAGCAAGGAUAUGCAUUCUUUUGAUAGAUGCCAGGGAGUAGUUUUGCUUCCUGGAAUGCUAUGAUCUGUGGGUAUCUAGAUUGUGGAAAGAUAGAAUUAGCAUGCAACUUUUUUGAUGCGAUGCCCAAGAAGAACAACAUUUCUCAUAUCAGAGUGAUUUCUGGGUACUCAAAAUGUUGUCCGAGUUUGGGAAACUAUUCGGUCAGUAUUCAAAUUGUAGGAUAUGUUAUGAUUUGAAGACCGCAAAAAAUAUUAUUCGAGUAACAAUGAUGAGCGUUUAUAUGAUCUUUUGACAUUUACAUCUUAGGUUAGUCAUCAAUUUUCAUUAGUUGUGACUUGUGAGCUUAUUGUAAACUUGGUUGCAUUUAAAUUUUGGAUUAUGAUCAUAUUGUCCAAGUUGUUAGUUCAAAAAUUUUUAAUUUGUUCAUUAGCUGUGAACUUAUUAGAUAAUUUGUCUAUAUUGAAAAUUGUGGAUUACGGUUUGUCAUUUUUUUGAAUUUGAGUCACUUUUUUUUAAAUAUUUGUCACUUUUUUUGAGUUUGUCACUUUUUUUGAAUUUUUUUUUUACUUUUUGAGUGUUUGUCAUUUUUUAAUCUGUGUAACUUUUUUUAAAAUUGUGUCACUUUUUUGAAUUCGUCACUUUUUUUUUUUAAAUUUUCGUCACUUUUUUGAAUUUUCGUCACCUUUUUAAUGUUUGUCACCUUCUUGAUUUCUAUCUCUUUUUUAAAUUCGCCACUUUUUUAGUGUUCGUCACUUUUUUAAAUUUGUCACUUUUUUGAAAUUUUGUCACUUUUUUUUUAAUAAAAGGGGAGAUUGUAUGUCAUUUUUUAAUAAAAAAGCGACACUAAACUUUUAAAAGUGACAUUGUGUCACAUUUUUGAGUUUUUUUGUCACUUUUUUAAAUAUUUGUCACUUUUUGAAUAAAAUAAAAAAGUGACAUAAUAUGUUAUAUUUUCCUAACAUAAUUAGGACAUUAACAAUCCACAUGCUGAUUAUGUUAAGAACUGCUACUACGCUCUAAUUAUGUUAAGAAUGUGAUUGGUGGUGCUGCCUAAAUGGAUGGCGCUAUUUUGGUGUUUCUCACUUUUUUAGUGUUCGUGUCACUUUUUUUGAGUUUAAAAAAACAAAAACAAAAGUGACAAUUUUUAUAAAAAGUGACAUUGUGUCACUUUUUUCAUUUCACACAGUAUUUUUUACUUCCUAAAAACUUUUCAUAUGAUUUUUCAAAAUACCUCUAAUUUUAAGGGCAUUUUUGUAAGUUGCCCUAAUUUUAUUGGGCCUAAAGUGGACUUUUAAUUGUAAUCAAAUUAAAUAAUUAAUGAAACAUUGAAUUGGGUAGCUGUUUACGCAAUAGACAAAUAGAAACAUUUGGGUGGCUGGAGAAAAGAAAAAAGAGAAGCAAAGCCAACGGAAAAGCAAUAUGAAAUUAAGAAAUUAAUCACGUCCAUUGAUUUUUUAUGAUGCCUUUUAUCCUUUCUUUGUCUAAUUUCAAUAUUAUGCUAUGCUAAAUUAUUAUGUGUUAAGAUUAACGAUGAAACUUAUAUCAUGAACCUUUUAGAUCUAAAUUUUAUUUCUUUUGACAUUUAAAACAUGCUUUCAAUUCUUAAAUGAUUGGCAUGGAUUUAAUUUUUUCUACAAUUAUUUGAUCACUAAUUUUAUGAAUAUUGUAGCUUGUUUUACCCUUGAGAGAUGGGUAAUAAGUUAGACAUUGUGUCAACUGUCGUAAAAUCUGAUAGAGGAUAUAAAUAUGCCGUUAUACUUUCCAUGAUCUUUAAGUAUUCACAAAUCUAUUAAUGCAUUUUUAUAUGUUCACAUCCGUCAUAAAAAUAUAAGCAAGUCACAUGUAAAAAAAAUUUUAAUUCUGCUCGAGAGAGAUUGUUAAUCAAAUUAGGAAUAUUGAUCUUCAUAAUUGAAUUGUGUCAUCAAAUUUAUAAGUUUCAAGGUAAAGGGAAUUGAUAUAAGGGGACUUGAGAUCCUAGUACCCUUUUCAUCAUUAUAUUUUUUUAAAAUUUGCAUUUAAUUUGAGUCUUGCAUUUAGUUUAAUCAAUUUAGAUCUUGCAUUUAUAAGUAGAUUGUUUAAUGUAGUUAGAGAAAAAUUACGACUUUCAAUUGUUUCGAUUAAGGCUAAGUUAAUUUGACUAUGAACUAAAUCAAUGUCUAUGGCAAUGAUAAUUGGACUCAAGAAAAAUCCAUUUAACUACUUGUUAACAUACCAUACAAAUCGCAAAGUUUUAAAUCGAAAUAUUAUUAUCUGAACAAAUUUUUAGUGUCAUUGUUGAGGAUUGUGUUUGAGUUUAAGUUCAUUUAGCUUAGUAUUAAUUUGAAAUUUUUGUGUUUAUUUUAUUUUAUUUUUUCUUUGUUAAAUUAUUUUAAUGCUUCUAUUUUAUUUUUAUGACAUUUUAUGCAAAAUUUGGGAGACUGUGAAUUGAUACCAGCUAAUCCAAAAAAUUGAACAUACUUUUCAUCAUAGGCAAAGAUAAGCAAGAGAAACACAACAACAAGAGAUGGCCAAUGCAUAAAACAAUCCGAUUAUUCAAGUGAAUGAAGGUGCAAUGGUCUAUGAAGAAAAUAUGCCGGUUGGGGACUUCAUGGCUCCAAAAAUUAUUAAAAGCCAAUCUAACAUCGUUUACCCUCUUUUUGGACAGCCAAAUUUUAAGUUGAAGACCAAUGCUAUCCAACUAUUUCAGAAUGGAUAUCAAUUUUAUGGCAGAGCGGAUGAAAAUCCACAUACACGCGUAUCUCAAUUUAUGGAGAUGUGUAAACACUUUAAAUAUCAAGGGGUUUCAAAUGAUAUGAUCGAAUUGAGAUUAUUUCCACAUACUCUAUGGGAUAGAGCACUUGAAUGGUUAGAUUUAUAGCCUAUCACUAUUCGGAAUGACUUGGCUUAAAAAUUCUGCAUCAAAUUCUUCCCACCAAGAAAGAUAUCCAAAUUGAAGCAUGAUAUAUCCAUAUUUUGGUAGGGAGAAAUUGAAUCCUUCAAUGAAGAUUGGAAUAGAUUCAAGAACAUGCUUCAGAAAUGUCCUCAUCAUGGCAUUAGUAAAGGGCUCUAGGUCCAAUAUUUUUAUGCAGGUCUCCAUUCAUCUUACGAAAGUAUGGUUGACUAAUCGUCCAAUGGCUUCUUAACCACGAAGACAAUUUAUGAAGCAUUGGAGUUGUUUUGACAGAUUGGCUACUACUAUAGUCGUGUGGGCUUCUGAGUGGGUUGUUCAUAAGAAGGCAGGAGGAGUAUAUGAGGUGAACACUUAUAACUGGGUUAUCUAUAAAAAUUGAUUCUUUGGCUCAUAAGGUUAUGAGCAUAUCAUAGUCAGUCAAUGCAGUACAGUUCAAGCGGCGAAGUUGUGAAGAAUGUCGUACAUAUCAUAUUACAGUAGAUUGUCCAAUUCUUGCACAAAAUAUUGAACAUGUUGAAUAUGUACAAGAAGGUUAGCACCAACAAAAUAACCCACAUUCUAAUACAUACAACUCAGGUUGGAGAAAGCACCCAAAUUUUUCUUGGGAUAAUCAAAAUCCUACUGCAUUGCAUGAUUACCAGUAUUUGCAGCCUGAAAAGAGAGUUCUGCUAGAAGAAAUGUUUGGUAAAUUUAUAGAAAGGGCAGACCACUAUAUAGAGGUAAACAAUCAAUUCAUGAGAAGAACUAAGACAACCCUUAAAAAUCAAAGUGCUACAGUCAAGAACCUGAAAACUCAAAUGGGAUAGAUGGCACCUGACAUAUCAAGUAAAGUACCAGGUACCCUACCGAGUAAUACUAAUACUAACCCCAAGGAGCAAGUAAUGGCCAUAGGUAUUUUAGAGGAUGUAAUAAUUGAGGAUCUCUCUGUGAAAGCAAUUACAACAAUAAAAUGGAGUGUAGUUGCCAAUUAUGAACAAAGUGAAUACAAGAGAUGAGGAGAAACUGGAAGGUAAAAACAAUCAAUCACAAAAAUUUUGAAAGAGAAUAGAGGCAAUGCACAAUUUAAGGCACCGAUCUGGUUAGAGAAUAUGUAGCUCCCAUCUUGUUCCUACAAAGGUUAAAGAAACACGAGCUAGAUAAAUAGUUUGAAGAGUUUUUUAAUGUGCUCAAAAAACUCCACAAUAUCCCGUUCAUAGAUGUGAUAAGGCAAAUUUCAAACUACGCAAAAUUUUUGAAGGACAUGAUAUCAAAGAAAAGAAAGCUUACGGAAUUUGAAACUGUGGCACUGACAGAGGAGAGCAGUGCAAUAUUACAAAAUAAACUGCCUCCCAAACUCAAGGAUCUUGGGGUUUCACUUUACCCAUUUUAAUUGGAGAAGCUGGUUCUUUCAAUACUUUAUGUGAUACAGGCACAAGUAUUAAUUUAAUGCCUUUAUAUGUAUUCAAGAAAUUGGGAUUAUGGAAAGCAAAAGAAACAACAAAGUUAUUGCAGCUGAUUGAUAAAAGCAUCAAAUAUCCAAGAGGUAACAUUGAGGAUAUACUCAUCAAGGUCGGCAGAUUUAUAUUUCCAGCAAACUUUAUUGUUCUAUACAUAGAAGAAGAUAGAGAUAUUCUAAUAAUCUUAGGACGUCCAUACUUAACAAUAGGUCAAACUUUGAUUGAUAUGGAGAAAUGUGAACUAAUAUUGAGAGUUUAUAAGGAACAAUAAGUUUUGAAAAUACACAAUACAUCCAAACAACCAUCUAAUCUCGACGAGCGAAAGUGUAUUGAUGAAGAUGAACCAUCCAUUUAACAAAACUGUCAGAAUAAAAAACCAAAAUUUGGAGGAAUUAUUGGUAGAGACAAUGACGGAGAAUUCAUAGUUUAGAGAGAUAACACGGGAUGCAAGGUUAGAAAUUGCAAGGAGUACAAGGCAAAACAUUUCAAUUUGACCACCUUAAGGAAAUCACCCCAAAAGUCGAGCUCUAAGUUAUAAAUCGAGCGCUUAAUGUGAAGCAACCCAUUUUUCUAUCACUUUUCACUUAUUUCGAUUAGUUGUUGCAUUACAAGUAGUUUUAGGGAUUGCAUUAAUUUAAGAACUCAAGCAUUUAAAUGAUUUGCUUUGAACACAUUUUAGGUUGUACUUUAAGACUAGCAUUAGUAAUUUAGGUAAGUUUACUUAUUGAGUUUAUUUUUACUUAAACUCAUUGUUAACAUCCUAGCAUUAUAUUAAGCUUACCUUGAUAUGAUAUGCAUUAUUAAGGUAGACUGCAAUAUCCAACCUAUUUUGAAAGACUUAUCUUUUCGUAGCUAUAGGAUUUUUGUAGGGAUGCCACUAUGUCCGAACAUUAUAUGAUUAGAAUUUUUUUGGUGUGAAUUCAUUACAAAUAUUUAAACCUUAUUCUCUAUCACUAAUAUUUAUUUUGAAUUCUUGACAUAGAAAAUUAAAGCCUAGCAAUAAAGAAAGGUGGCAGUUGUCAUGACUUCUACUAGCUGAGCCAACUUGAUCCUUCUACCUAUCAGUAGAGUUUCUGAUCCUUACUAUUUUACAUCUAUUAUUCUUGCUCUUGCAUUGGGAAUAUUGUAAUAUAAUGCUGUCUAGUUAGAGUUGAAUGACUUGACGCCAAAGAUGAUAUUUAUUUGUUUGAAUUGAGUACAUGUUUAGUUAGAUACUGGUCAACACCAUAACUGUGCUUUUACUUGAAAACUUAUAUAUGUUAGAUUUGAUUAUUUCAGCACAUUGCCAUAUUGAAUUAUCAGUUACGUUGGGACAUGACUGAAUUAAGCCCCUGUUUGGCCCCCUUUUUUGGAAAUGAAAAUGGGUGGAAUAGUAGUUUUUCAAAAAAUGAGUGGUUAAAAAAGAAGAAAAUGUCUUCGAUUUACGUGUAAUAUUAUUUUGUGUAAGAUUGUAUUGUUGAAAAUAGGAGAGAGAAAAAUAAAAUGUAAUAUAAUGUAAUUUAAUGGAGGCCAAACGGGGGUUAAGUGAAUUUAAUUGUUGAUGUUGUUGAUCUAGGUUUGAAUAAAAUUUUCCAAGUCCUUUAUAGAAACUAAAUUGCUAUAAAUCAGUUUUGUGACAGGAAGGUUAGUGAUUGUUUUCAUUGAUGUGUGAUUAUUUGGAGUUCUUGGAUCCCAACAUUAGUUGAAGGAGUUUGAGUUAAGGAGUCUAAAAUGGGUACUGAUCAUAUCCUUAAAAAAAAUUCAAAUCUCAUACAUAUGUAACCUCUUUCGUAGCCUUUAUGACUCAAGUGAUUAAGCCUACUAAGGUUUUUAAAACUUGGUGCCCUAUAAUUGUUUGGUUUGGGAGUCAUCGGCCUAAUGCUCGCUACAGGGAUCAUUUAGAAAGUUAAAGGGAAAGAAGUUUUGCACAUAAGAUAUUAAAAAAAAAAAAAAAAGAAUGAAAAGUUAGAUUCUCAUAUUAAAAGGAAAAGUGACAAAUCUUCUACCUCUCAUCAUAACCUUUCUGACUCGAGUUAUUAAGUUUGUAAAGGUAUUUAAAAAUUUGGUGUUAUAUAGUCAUUUGAUUUGGGUACAUGCAUCAUUUAGAAAGCUUAAAAAGAGAAGUCUUGUACAGGAGAUGUAAAAAAAUGAUCUAAAUAAUCAAAAUUGAGAUGUGUUGGCUAAAGACUUUGAGAUGUAAACUCUAGGGUUAGCAGUGUGACUUUAAGACACAUUUACCACAUUUUUCCUAGGUUUACAUAUAUCCAAACCACUUGAGUGAAAAAUGCAUUAUUAUAAUUUUUAGAAACCCAUAUGUGCUAGAAGUACCUCGUGCUUUGGGAGAAAACAUAUGGAUUGAUCAUGCACGAGAGGCGUGAGGAAAAACUGACCACAAGAGGAUUGGGAUUGUGCAUAAAUCAACAUUACUCUAUUAGCUGUGUUCUAGUAUGGGAUGUGAGUUUAAUGUUGGCUAGUCAUACACACACUAAGUCGAGCAUCAGAUAAGUAAAAAUCUAUUUUAAUAUUAUUUGGAUCUUUCUAAAGUAUUACUUAAAUUUGAAUCUAAGGCUUAUGAUAAGCAAUUCAGCAUUGAGUCUUUUAUCUGUGAUUUGUUUGAGUUAGUUAUAUGUGUCAUAUCUAAGUUUUAUUUUAUUUUCUUCGAGGAUUAACAAAUAUUUUAGUUUGGAGGUGUUUGAUAAGUACAUUAUUAUGCACUUAUUUAGGACAUAUUACUAAACUUUUAUGUCGUCAAAUUGUUGAAUUUUAUUUAACUUGGGUUAAUUUUCUUUUGUUUUACUGAUGGACGCGUUUAAAGCAAUUGAAAAGAAAAUGAGCAUUGAUUGGCCUUUAAAUAGAAGUUUGUGGACUAAAUCUCACUUGAAUAAAAGCCGGAGGAUCAAAAUCGAGGAGAAAAUGAAGAAAGGGACUAACUUGCUUCACAUGGAAGAAUUGAGGCCUUAGAAGAUAAAUUGCAACUAAUUGGGCCUCAAAAUAAUGAAAAGUGAAAAUUUAGUAGGGCCUAAAGUGAACUUUUAAUUGUAAUUAAAUUGAAUAAUUAAUGAAACGUUGAAUUGGGCAGCACACACACACACACACACACACACACAUAUAUAUAUAGGCGGAUAGAAACCUUUGGGCGGUUGGAGAAACGGAAAAAGAGAAGCAAAGCCGGCGGAAAAGCAAUACAAAACUGAGGAAUUAAUCACGCUCCAUUGAUAUUUUGUGAUGUCUUUUAUCCUUUCUUUGCCUAAUUUCAAUAUUAUGCUAGGCUAAAUUAUUAUGUGCUAGGAUUUACGAUUAAAUUUUUUAUAAUGAACCUUUAAAUCCAAAUUUGAUUUCUUUUGACAUUUAAAACACGUUUUUGAUUCUUGAAUGAUUGGCAUGGAUUUAAUAUUUUCAACAAUUACUUGAUCACUAAUUUUACCUUCAAGAGAUGGAAGAUAAGUUAGACAUUGUGUCAAUUAUCGUCGAGUCUGAUAGGAAAUAUAAAUAUACAUUUAUACUUUAUGUGAUCUUUAAGUAUUCACAAAUUCAUUAUACAAUUUUAUAUGUUCACAUCCAUCAUAGAAAUAAAGGUGGGUCACAUGUAAAAAUAGGUUUAAUUCUACUUGAGAGUGAUUGUUUGACAAAUUAGAAAUAUUGGUCUUCAUAAUUGAAUCGUGUUGUCAAAUUUAUAAAUUUCGAGUUAUAUAUUUGUCUAAAAUUUGCAUUUAGUUUAAGUCUUGGAUUGAGUUUAAUCAAUUUAGGUCUUGCAUUUAUAAGUAUAUUAUUUAAAUUAGUUAGAAAAAAAUUACAACUUUCAAUUGUUUCGAUUAAAGCAAAGUUAAUUUGAACUUGAUCUAAAUCAAUCUCUUUAGUAGCUAUACACCACUAAAAAAUAUGGCUUCAGGCACGGAUUUUCCAUUCCUAAAACCUUGAUAUCCGUUGCUAUUACUCUUUACCAACGGAAUAUUUGCAACUACAAAUCCGUUGUCAAUUUGAGGGUCGCUAAUAGUUACUAAUGGAUUGUGCUAUAGGUAAAGAGUAAACAUUUUACCAACGAAAAUUUCGUUGGUAAUGUGUGAAUUUUUUACCAACGGAAUUUUUGUUGGUAAAAAUCUUAAUCAAUACCAACUGUCUUUUCAUUGGUAAAUGCCUACCAUUACAAUUGGUAACAAUUCAUAUUGUAAAUAGUCGUAUAGGUGUGAGACAUGGUAAAAAAAAUAAAUUAUUUACUUAUGUUUUUAUAAUUGUUAUUAUUAUAUAUUUAAUAAUUAUAAUUCUUUUUAAGACUUUUAAACAAUUGAAUUAAAAAGUCAAAAUAUUGUUUAACCACUUAUUGGACUAUAAAUUUAUAGAGGAUAACUCCAAAGACUUUAUUAUAAACUUCUGAUGUGGGAUAAUUGAAUUACUUUUACCAACGGAUAAUCCAUUUUUAAUUACCAACGGAGUAUCUGUAGGUGAAAGAUUUAAAUGUUAAACGGUCAUGUUACGCACAGAAUAUCCGUUGGUAAAAAGAUAUUAUCAUUACCAAUGGAAAAUUCGUUGCUGAUUAUUGUAAUUGAAAGUGAAUUACUUUUACCAAUGGAUUGUUUCCGUUGGUAAUAUAUGGCACGUCACCUACGGAAUAUUCGUAGGUGAAAUAUCCAAAUGUUAAACGGUUACAUUAGGCACGGAAUAUCCGUUAGUAAAAGGAUAUCAUUAUUACCAAUGAAAAAAUCAUUGUUACCAAAGGAAAAUCCGUUGCUGAUUAUCGUAGUUGAAAGUGAAUUACUUUUACCAACAGAUAAUUCGUUUCUAAUUACCAACGGAUUAUCGUAGUUUAAAGUGAAUUACUUUUACCAAUAGAUAAUCCAUUUCUAAUUAUCAACAGAUUGCAUCCGUUGGUAAUUUUUCGUAGGUGAAAAACUGUUUUUUAGUAGUGAUACUUGGACUCAAAAAAAUUCAUUUUACUACUUAUUAAUGAACCGUACACUUGCGGAAUUUUAAAUCGAAAUAAUAUUUUUGUGAACAACUAACAUGCAUCUAUGAAUAAUGUGGUUGUCAUAUUUCCAUUUGUUAAUUUCAUAGUGUCUCUUGCUCUCUUUUGGUUUCCCUUAUUCAAGUUAGGAGUAAAGUAAUGUGAUUGGUAUGUUGCUUGUUUGGUAUAUUUUGGAGUUGCAUUAGAUAAAACCAUCGUGUUGUAACAAUUGGAAGGUUAAAAAGUAAUGGUGGGUAUCGUGACUUUAUAGAGCACUUUGUACAAACAUGGUUUCUUAGGUAAUGAUGUUGCAGAAGCUCUUAAUGAUUAUGCAUGUUGGUGUAGAUGAUUUUAUUUUUGCAACCUUCUUAAUAUGUAUGUUACUAGAAAGCUGCAUUUGAAAUUUCCUUUACACCUAUUUGUAGGAAAAUCCAAAGUUUGGAAAGUUCAAAGACAAUGAUAACAACAAAAUUUACCACACUUAUAGCAAACUAUUUAGUAAUAGUUAUGGUUUCAAGAAAUAUCUUUUAACAUUGACUGAAUUAUCGUAGCACGAUUUUGAUUUUGGCUCGGACAACGACACGGAUGAUCCAAAUGACAUGUUGUCCAUCAACGUUGAGACAGUAGAUUUAAGUGCUGGGCCUACAAAGGGCAGAGCAAACUCGUUUGGUGAGAAGCAUGAAGAAAAGCAAGCGAGUAGAAAUAGAAAGAAGAAGAAGUUCGAUGCAAGGGCAGGGAAGUUCUAGAGUUUGUAGAUAACUUAGCAUCUACAUUAAGGAAAUUCGCCUCGGUCAUUUGGUCUAGAGACAAGGGUGGAAUGAUGAUUCUCGAGUACUUCAAUGACUUGCUUUUGAAUGGCCUCAUCAAAGCUGGUGAUCAGUUACUUCUGUUCAUUCUGGUUCUUUUAGGACUCAGACAAUCAAAUUGAUUACAGUGCCACUCAAACAACGGAACUUAGAAUGAUCAAAAGAAUGCCCCACGUGCCUAUACUUGAACAAAAAUAGGUAGCUUCUCAUGUAUCACAUACUUUGAAAAAUAACAAUUCUUUUCGAACUCAUCUAGGCAUUGUCAAGUAGUUUGAGCUCUAGGCUUAAUUCUACAUAAAUCGUAGCCUCACAAAGUCUAUAUAGAUUCGAGAUGGACUUAUCAAUCUUUAUUGGUAACCUAAUAGGUUUAGAUAAAGCAAGCAAAAUGCUCCUAACACAUAAGUCCAAAGGCAGUAAUGAAAAAAAGAAUCUACAAUGGAGUAUAUACACAACCUUAAUUAUAGUGUUUUAGAUUGAAUGCAUAUCUUAAAAUUUGUCAAAGUUGAAUAUAUACCUAGGUUGGAAAAUAUGGCCGUUUGAUUUCCUUGUGCGUAGUGAGCGGCAAGACUAGCAUUCAAAUGCCAAACUCGUGGGCAGCAAGUGAAAGACUUCUUGUUCUAAGCACUCGAAGAGGAGAUGAGCACUUAACGAGAAAAAAUGUGGUGACUUCUUCUCCUUAGUCUAUCUUUAAACUUCUUCAAGGCCUUUUCAACCAAACAACCAAUAUUCAAUGGAAUUUGGGUCACACUUCAACAAAUCUCCACAUUCAUUUAGAUUUCUAUACAAGGAAUUAUUGUUCACUCAUUAACAAACAAUUCUCUAGCCUUCCAGGCAAGCCCCUAAAGACCAAUUCAACAAAAUAAUAUCAAUCAAGUCCAAGAAAUACUCAUAUUUGGCCACAUUGAAUGCCUUCGUCAAUAUGUCAACUAAACUCUCCUUGGUAUCAACUUUGCUCGCUACAAUAUUACCACGAGUAAUCACAUCACACAAAAAUGACACCUCACAUCAAUGUGCUUUGUCCUCUCGUGAAAUAUCAGAUCAUUUGUUAGAAAAUUAACACUAUAACCAUCAAAAUAAAUAAAUAAAUAAAUAAAAUUGUAGAUAUCUACUAGUCUUUACUAAUUUUACCCAACAAUCUCCUCAACCACAUAACCUCCUUACGAGCCUCUGUAAUAGCCAUAUACUCUGCCUCUGUAGAAGAUAAGGCCACCACAUUUUGUAAAGUAGCCUUCCAGGUAAUAGCACAACCACCAUUGGUAAACACGUACCCUGUAUGAGAUCUCCUACAAAAUCUAAAUUAACAUACCUAAUAACUCCAUAUGUAUUUUUUUUUCAAAAUGAAAACAAGAAUUAAUAAAGCUAUAUUGGUAUCUGAAAAUCUACUGCAUUCAUUUCUAAUCUUCAUUUACAAGAUUUUCCAUGUAAGAUACUAACUUUACUAACUGUAUGUGCUAAAUCUGGGUGUAUAUAAAGCAUAACAUACAUAAGCGAUCCAACUACACUGGAAUAAAAAAUAUGUGUCAUGCAAUCGAUAUCCUCAUCUGAUUAUGGAUACAAAACAAAUGACAGUUUAGAAUGGGCAGCCAAAGGGAUACUGACAUUCUUUGCAUUCAACAUAUAAAACCUUUAGAUUGUUCUCUCAAGGUACCAUCUCUGACUCAAGUAUAAUCUAGCAUCAUUUCUUCUCUCGAGAUCUCCAUUCAAAGAAUAUUCUCCACUGAUCCCAAGUGUUUCAUAUCAAAUUUUUUUAUUGAGUUAAACUUUUACUUCAUUACCUCUACUUUAUUUUGGAUAGCUAUCAACAUAUCAUCAACAUAAAGUAGUAGAUAUAUAAACAAUCCAUCAUCACACUUCCUGAAGUAUACAUCACUAUCAUAACUACUUCUUUUAAUGUCAUAAAUAUUCAUGAAUGAGUUAGACCUUUUAUAUCAUUACCUCAGUGAUUGAUUUAGACCAUAAAUGGACUUCUUCAAUGAACAUACAUAGUCUUCAUUUCUUGUGACAAAAAAGCCCACCACUAUUCCAUAUAGAUGUCCUCUUCAAGUUCUCUAUGUAAGAGUAUUAUUUUCACAUCCAAUUUUUCAAGCUUCAAAUCAUUAUUGGACAUAAUACCAAGCAAAUCUUUAAUUGAGCUAUACUUUACAAUUGGAAAAACUAUAUCUAUGAAGUCUACACCUAGAAUCUCUAUAACCCUUAGCCACUAAUCUUGCUUUGCACCUGGUAUUUAAGAAUUCUGAUGCAAAUUCCACGCUCCUUUUGAAUAGUAGAUUACGAUAAACAAUUUCCUUCUCCUUGGAUAAUUUCACUAAGUCCCAUAUGCCAUUUUUAUGAAUAGAUUCCAACUCUUCUUGCAUAGCAAAAUCCCCCUGCCAUAGUCAUUGCAACUCACUACUUUAGUGUAUGUAGUAGGCUCUUCACUAGAAUCAAUAUCUUUAGCCAUAUUCAAUGUUACCAAUUAGCUUUCCCAUACUUUUGUUGAGGCCUAAUCACCCUCUAGGUUUAUCUUUAGCAAUAGAAUACUGCAGUAGUGGUUGCAAAAAAGUACUCUCCUUCACUUUUGAAUUAGACUAAGAUGAAAGCUCUCAUUUAGACACUAAACAAACUCCAACUCCGCACGUAAUUUCUUUAUAUUAAUUUGUAUUACCAAAAUUUCUAAGAGAUAAACUGAACCAUUUCAUUUUAACUUAACAUAAAUCUAUACUAAUCACAACCCUAUUUGUUUCUAAACACUAAAGAUUAUAUCCCUUAACACCAUAUUUAUAACUAAGAAAAAAAUACUGUUUAGACUUUGGCCCCAACUUUCCAUUAUUCAUAUUAGCAUAAUUAAGGCACCUAAAUAUUUUUGAAUCCGAGUAACUAAGGGGAGACGUAGACCAUACAUCUUCUAUGUCAUUUUGCCAAUAGUAAUUGACGGUGAGGGGUUGGUACUAAAUCAAGUUGUAGAAGCAGCUUUCAACCAAGAUUGUCAGGUCCUUAGAUCUUUAUCUGAGAUAUAUAGGUCAAAAUUUGCAGCUAUAGAGGAGAGUAAGGACUAGAUGCUAUUAGGGUUGAAGAGUUGGUUAGAUCUCUACAGACCUAUGAACUAAUAUUAGCUAAAAUAUCAAAAGAUAAGUUUUGGCCUUGAACAUUCUUAGGGAUAACAUUAAUGAGUAUUCUAAUUCGGAGUCACCUAAUAUCGAUAUAGCUUGUAUUGCUAAAAAAUUUUGGAAAAUGUUUAGAAAUAAGAUAAAGCCUCAAGUGAGACAGAGAGGUGAUCCGAGUGAGUCUAGAAAGAGAUCUCAAUAUGUGAGAUGUCAUAAGUGUCAAGGUUUUGACCAUUAUAGGAGUGAGAGCCCUAACAUUAAGAGGAAUAAGGAUAAAGCUAUGAAUAUUACUCUCACUGAUAACGAGUCUAUCUCGGUUAUUCAAAGUAAGAGGUUCACUUAGGAUGAGAAUGGAAAAUAUAUGGUCUUCACUGUUAAGGCUAGGAGUAAAUCUGAUAAAGAGAGUGAGAAGGUUGAGGAUGCAGAUAGUGGUAAGCAAUAUUAGGAAGAUUAUGAAGAUGAGGAAGACAUAACUAAGCUUAUGAUAAAUUAUAUAAGGAGAGCCUUAGGAUAUUGACUACCAAUAAAGUCUUGUGUACGAAGGUCAAAGAUCUUGAGCUAGAGAAAUAAAAACUAAUAGCUGACUUUUAGGAAUCUACCUUAUCCCUAAGUAAGUUGAACUCUGUGAAUGAAUUCUUAGAUACUUGAUUUAAGAAUCUUAUUAGUGAUCUUGAGGAGUCCUCUAGGAGACUUAAUGACUUGAUUAUUAUGAAUGAGUCUUUAGAAAACAUGGUUAAGACCUUUAUGAUUGAUCUUGAUGAUUCCAACACCCAUCUCCUUGCAUUCUCUAGUGGUUUAUUGAAGCUUGAUAGCAUCUUAGGAAUGAGUAAGCCUAUUGGUAAUAAGGGAAGUUUUGGAUAUAAGGAGAAUGAUCACAAUACUUCUAGUACUUUCAAGACCCUUGUUGUCCCUAUCCUUAACCAAUCUAAGUACAUUCCUAACCCUGAACCCAAGAAAAAGGAAAUCAUAAGACAAAGGCCUACUAGACAGCAUAGGACCUACCAACCUAGGAAUAAAAAUCAACGACCACAUAACCUUGGUCCUAGAUUUAUCCAUACUUGUUUCAAUUGUGUUGAGUUAGGACAUAUAAGGCCUAGGUAUCAUAAAUUCUUGAGUAGAAAUAAAAUCAGAACUUCAAUAGAAAUAAAAGUAAAGAAGAGGAUUUUGAUGGCCGAAUUGACUUCUUCACUAAUUAAGUGGGUCAAUUGACUGAGUUAGUGAUAUAGUUGACUAGAUUAAUUCUUCAACUAGGCAAGUUUAGGUAAAGAGGAGUGAUCCAAAAAUUCUUAAAUAGAUCACUAUGCUCUUAAAGGUAAGAGAGUUUGUAUACCUAACUGAUUAGGUAUUUCUAGUGCAUGCUUGUGUAUAUUCAUUGCGAUUCAUUCACUGUUACAUACAUCUCAUUUUUGUAUUUGCUUUAUAGGUAGUAAGUCCAUGUAUGUGCAUCUUCAUCAUGUUUGUAUUGGCACAUGCAUUUUUAUUUUACUUUUUUGUAUUGUGUGUUGAAUAUUUUUAAUUUUUUUUAAAAAUUUUGUGUGGUUAGAGCAUUUAUUUAAAAAAGGGUAAAGUUUUUAAAACUAUAACAUGAUAUAUGAUAUACUUGAAUUUGAGUGUUGUGACCAACUAUGAGUUUAAUUGAUGUGCUGUAGCAUAUUUUUUCAUUAUUUGCUUAGCUUUUGAUAGAGUACUUAGUCUAGGUUUUUCAUACACCAUAUGUACUGCACACAUUAUGAUAUUGCGAGAGGGACUUGACAGCGUGUGAGAUUUGAGAUGGCAGUUUCAUGUUGGUAUGGUGACUUUGAACAUGAAUUGACCUUAUUUCAUUAGACCUAAGAUCAAGUAUAUUCUUUUGAAAGAAAAAAAUUAGUAUCUUAUGCCCUUUUUCGGAGUCUUUUCGACUCGAGUAAUUAAAGUUGAGGCUUUUCUCAGAACAUAGUGUCUAUAAUCAACUGACUUGGGUUAAUCGAUAUAUAUAUAUAUAUAUAUAUAUAUAUAUAUAUAUAGAUUAACCCAAGUCAGUUGAUUAUAGACACNNNNNNNNNNNNNNNNNNNNNNNNNNNNNNNNNNNNNNNNNNNNNNNNNNGUGUGUGUGUGUGUGUGUGUGUGUGUGUGUGUGUGUGUGUUUAACUUUCAUAAGUAGAGGGAUAAGCUUAUUGACAGAGAUGUUUAGAAUGUCAUUUAUUACAAAAUUAAAGUUUGUAGUCCUGCUUACAAAGUAUUAGUAACACCCUACAUACAUAGGGUCACUUAUACAAUUUACUCCAUUUUAACUUGAAUUGAGUAUGUGAAAAAAUGUAUUGAUCGUUAAUUAUGCUUGUGCAUUAUAUCAACUGCAUCUUUGAGUUAUUAUAUAUUGAUGUUUAUGUGUAUUUGAUAGAAUUCCCAUAGUCAUUUGUGACAAAAAAGGGGCGAGAAAGAUCUUAUUGUAAUUUUGAGUUAAGAGUUGAUGCAUUUUAGGGAGAGUUUGCAGUAAGGGGGAAAGAUGAUAGUAUCUUUUAUUCAUGGCAUUCCAUAUCAUAAUGGAUAGCUUCUUUGAAUUUUGAUGUUUGGUGAUAUUAAUGUUUCAAUUGGUGUUUUGAUUAACACUAGUAUCACUUCUCAAUCUAGCCAACAUAUUUAUGAUUAUAGGUUUCAAUUGUUAUAUUUCUUUUAUCGUGUGCUUUUACACUUGGUAUAUGAGUUGUCUAUUUUAGGAAACAGGUUAAUAAGGAAUGUAAGAGACAAACAUUCAGUUUUGGUUUGGAUAGAUUAGUUUUUAUUUUUAUUUCCUUGACUUGUGUGGUAUAAUUUUGUCCCAGAAUACCCAAGGGGGAGUUUGUUAGGAUUUAUGUUGUAUUGGCAAUUUUGUAGAUAAAAUAAAAUCUUAGUUAAAUUGCAUUAGGAGUUUAUUUGAGUUGUGUCAAAGUCAAAAUAGGAGUUAUUGAAUCCUAAUUAAAGUCAAAAGAGUUGAGAUUGCUAGUAUAGUCCUUGAAAGAGUCCAAGAUGUCGAAGAAGAUCACGUGUGAUCAGGGAAAUACAAUUAGAAGUCUAAAGAGUUUUAAAGAGCAGCAAAAGUUAUGUUUUAAAUUUUCACUCAUAAUUUGUAACACAUUUUUAACAUAGAAAACAUUAGAAUUUGAACAAGGCUAUUUAAAGGAAUUGUAGCCCUUUGAGUUGGCUUUUUAUUGUAUUUUGAAUCCACUCAAACAGACAUUGGAAGAGAAAGUUAUUAUAAAAUACUAACAAUUGCUCACCAAUUGCUCACCUAUCGCUUGUCUAGAGUUCGAGCAAUGGUGUUACAUGUGUAACCUUAUUUCGCACUUUUCAAGAGUUUUAUCUGGCCCAUACUACCUAAUUAUCUCUUACUAUAAAUACCCAAGCCCUUAUAUAUUUUGUUUGUGGUUGUUCAUAUAUUACCUUUUCAUAAUAUCAUUCCUAGAUCCAAGAAUAAGAUUACUAAAGAUUGAGGAAGGUCAGACCAAAAGAACGGAAGAGUACAAAAUAGCGUGUUCUUGAUGAUUCACAGGAGAUAGACGAUUUCAAAAAAUCGUGAACAGAUGUGAGUGAAGCACAAUAUCAAAAGAUCAGGAGAUUAUUAGCUUGGUCCUAAAGUUUUUACUCAGUUAGGUUUUCUCCAUCAACAUAUUUUGUGUUGUUUAUCGCUUUCAUACCAUUGAUUGUGGCAUUCAAACUAUAGAAUAAUCUGAUGUGAUUAAUUAACUAUCUAGAAACAAUUAAAAAGUGACUUGUUUCUUUUAUUAUAUAAUUCCUAACAUUGGGUCAAAAUAAAUUAGCUAAAUCUAAACAUUCAAGUGGUAUAAGAGCUUGUCACUCAUGGAAAUGAUAUUUAUACUCAUUUUACAAUAUUAUUUGUUAGUGCUCCAAUACACUUGUUCAACUUGACAGGGCAUUGUCCAACAUAUUUUAAAAGCAGUAAAUAUAAAAGUGGGAAAAAUAUUUUUCCCUCAUUUCAACGCACACAAAUAGAAGAAAAUUAUUAUAAAGGACAAGAAGCGUAAAUUAAUAAAGGUUUAAAGAAAAGAACUCAAUGAAAAAAAGAUAGGAACAUAAGUUCUACAAUGAGCAUUGAUCGAAGAAUUCAAAUGCAAUCAAAGUGUAAUGUAACAAGUAAAAAUACAAUGUAAAUAUAAUUAUCUGGUAUAGAAUCAUUUGAAAAUUUUUGGAUUCAAUUUUUUUAUGGAGCCAUGCCAAAAAAUAUUAUUUAAUUGUUGGAGGUUGUUAAAGUUAUUUACAAUCAAAUUGAAAGUUCCCAAUAUUGCUUAUUUGGCAAUAAAUUUUUUUAACACUUGUUCCACGUAGCUAUGACUAUGCUUCUAUGUUAUGAAAGCAUUAAAAUUAAAAGGAAAAAGUGUUAACAUCAUUGUUCUGCCAAGUACCAUCCACACGCUUUCUAGCAACUCACACCACCAAGCCCUGCUAGUCCACUACUAAAAAUUCCAAAUACAUACCACUUUUUGACAAGAUCAUGUGCCCUAGUCUUACAUGUUACGAAUAGAAACACAAAUUGCUUGUAAUGAAGAAUAUGACAAAAUUAAAAAAAUAAAAAAUAAAUAAAAUGAAGAAGCUAAAAUGAUAGGAUAUUCUAGGAAAUGUUGACCUCCCAAAUGCUGAUUUUCGAGGAACAAUAAACCUCGAAAGACUAAAAGUACAUUUACAGAAAUAAUUGAUCCCCCUUUCUUCAUUCUUUAUUUGAAUUUAAAUAUGAAAAUAUUGUACCAAUUAUCUUCUAAAAUCAAGAACCAUUUCAAAAAUAAGAAAAUAUAAAAUUAAAACCUGAAAAUAAAGAAAUAAAAUAAAUUACAAAUAUAGAAAUGUAUAAUCUUCUUCCUCCGAGAGUUUUGCAAUUCACCGUAAUUGCAAGAAAAUAUAAAACCCAUUUGACGAAAACCGAUAAAAGGACCCAGAGCCAAAAAUAAAAUAUAUGGAAUUAAAAGUUCAAUCGUUCAUCCAAGCAUUUCACUUGAUAUCACUUCAUAAAAAAAAUUAAAUAAAUCGUUUUUCCAACACUUUGUUAGGUAUAUCAUAUGAAGUUAGAUAAUUUUUAAUUUCCUGGAUUAAUAUGUUAUUGAAAGUUCAAUUCUUUCUGCUUACGGGCCAUGCAUGGACUUUCACUUUAUAUAUGAAAAAGUCAUCACCUAAUAAUACUAUUUUUCCCCACAAAUAACUUGAAAAUAAUAUGCACUAAGGAUAAUUCAAGAAGCAUGGCUAAUACCAAAGUCGGCAUCCUUACUAUCUUUUUAAUCUGUGGUAGUUAAGCAGUCAUCUCUAGGGGCGGACGUAGACAUUUUGAAUUAGGGGGUACAGUCAAACCUUAUAUAGAUUGAAUAUUUUGUUCUUGAUUUUUAAAUAAUUUAUACUUAACUUGAGAAAAUGCAGAACUAAGUUUAAAAACACAUUCCUCCAUCAAUAUUUUGUUCAUCGUUUUAAUCCAUUUGAAUUCGAACAGUCUUUUCAUUAAUAUUUUGCUCAUCACAAGAAAAUACGUGUUUACAUUUAAAGAAUUUAUAGUGUAUUUGAUACAAACAAUCCGUUCAAGUAAUAAAAAGAGAAAAAAAAACAUAUAAUCAAUAUUCAUUACUAAUAUUCAAUCAAAUAAAUACAAUUUGUUAAAUAUAAGUCAAGAUGGACAUAAUUUAUUUAAGGCUCAUUCAAAAUACACAAUUUGAUAGGAGAAAAUGUAAAUUUAAGCUCAAAAUAUGAUUAGGAAGUGAAGUAAAUUUCUUAAUUUGUCGAGAAAUUAUAAACAAAUUUUAAAAAAUUAGAAGAGUUAAGGUUUUGAUAGUAUAAGGGAAAGUGAAAAAGUUCAAAUUUAUUGUGAUUUUGUCCUUAUUUGAUGGAGAUUAAAAUCAAAUUUAUUGUAAAUUUUGAUAGAAGUUGAAAUUUUUUUAGUCCCAUGAAAUAUGUUAUUAAAAUUAAUUGUUAAUUUUUAUUUAUAUUAAAAUUUAUAUUUUAAGUCAACAAUCAUGGUUUUAUUUGAAUAUACAGAUAUAAAUAUAUUCUUGUGUGUCACGUGACCCCCCAAAACCCCCCUUCUAUCUGCCCUUGGUCAUCUCUUACCCAUUGAUAAAUCUUGUGUGUUUUGAUCUUCAUGUACAGAGAAGCGUGCAAGGUAAUAAAUAAGUUACUCGUGCAUGUAACAUAUUAAGGUUUUGCAUAAAUUUAACAUACUAAGAUCGUGAAUUUAUUAAGAUCUUCUUGUAAAGGGAAGCGGGGAAUAUAUUUUGUAUGUAAUAUUGAAUAAAACUAAUUAGUUUAAUCAACAAGCUAUCAACUUCUUUUUAUUUUUAACUAUCAAGUUCUUCCACUUAUAAGUUAUUCUUUUCUUCGUUCGUUUGGAUUCUAAAGAGACAUUGCACUACUAUAAGUAAUGCUAUUAAGUUGAAGCGUGACAUACACAUGAUUUUCUCAUACAUGCAUCAUGAAUUUUGCCUAAGUUUUCUUUGACCAUGUUUUAUACGCGAACCAUAGAAUAAUAUGAUGUGAUUAAUUAACCAUUUAGAAACAAUUAAAAAUUAACUCGUUGCUUUUAAUUGUAUAAUUCUUCAUCUUGAGUCUAAAUAAUUUAGAUAAAUCUAAAUUUUCAAGUGAUAUAAGAGAUUUUAACUCAUGGAAAUGAUAUUUAUACUCAUUUUACAAUAUUAUUUGUUAAUGAUCUAGUACGCUUAUUUGUUUUGACAAAGCAUUGUCCAGUAUAUUGUAAAAGCACUAAAUAUAUAACCGGGAAAAUUAAUUUUCCCUCAUUUCAACGAACACAAAUAGAAGAAAAAGUAUUAUAAAGGAUGAGACGUACUAAUAAAUAGAGGAUUGAAGAAAAGAACUCAACGAAAAAAUGAUAGGAACAUAAGUUCUACAAUGAGCAAAGAUCGAAGAAUUUAAAUGCAAUCAAAGUGAGAUUUAACAAGUAAAAAUAUAGUGCAAAUAUAAUUAUCCGGAAUACAAUCGUUUGAAAAUUCUCGGAUUUAAUUUUUUCCCUGGAGCCAUGACAAAAAAUAUUAUUGAGUUGUCAGAGGUUGUUAAGCUAUUUACAAUCAAAUUGAAAGUUUCAAAUAUUGCUUAUUUGGCAAUACAAAAUCUUAACACUUGUUUCACAUAGUUAUGACCGUGCUUCUACCAAGUACCAUCGACACGCUUUCUAGCAACUCACACCACCAAGCCCUGCUAGUCCACUACUAAAAAUUCCAAAUACAUAGCACUUUUCGCCAAGAUCAUACACCUUAGCCCUCUUAAAUAUUACGAACAGAAUCACAAAUUGCUCGUAAUGAAGAAUAUAACAAAAUAAAAAAGAACAGCUAAAAUGAUAGGAUAGUUCUAGGAAAUCUUGACCUCUCAAAUACUGAUUUUCGAGGAACAAUAAACCUCCAAAGACUAAAAAUACAUACACAGAAAUAAUUGAUCCCCCUUACUUCAUUCUUUAUUUGAAUUUAAAUAUGAAAAAAUCGUACCCAAUAUCUUCUAAAAUCAAGAACCAUUUCAAAAAUAAGAAAAUGUAAAAUAAAAAAUAUAGAAAUGUACAAUCUUCUUCAUCCAAGAGUUUUGCAAUGCACCAUAGUUGCUAGAAAAUAGAAAAUCUGUUUGACCAAAACUGAUAGUAAAAGGAUCUAGCGCCCAAAAAAAAAAAAAAAAAAAAAAANAAUAUAUAUAUAUAUAUAUAUAUAUAUAUAUAUUGUAAUUUCAAGGUUGAUCAUUCAUCCAUGCAUUUUACUUAAUAUCACUUGAUAAAAAAAAUUAAAUAAAUCGUUUUCCGACACUUCGUUAGGUAUAUCAUUUUAACUUAGAUAAUCUUUAAUUUUCUGGAUUAAAAUGUUUUUGUAAGUUCAAUUGGCUUUUGCUUACGGACCAUGCAUGGACUUUCUCUUUAUAUAUGAAAAUUUCAUCAUCUAAUAACACUCUUUUUCCCUAUAAAUAACUCUAAAUAAUCUGCAAUAAGCAUAAUUCAGGAAGCAUGGCAAAUAGCAAAGUCAGCAUCCUUACUCUCCUUUUAAUCUGUGGUAUGUUCUAAUUGCUUCUCUUUUUUGGCUUUCAAGAAUUAUGCCAACUUGUACAAUUUACAGAUCAAAUAUGAUUUCUAUGACGGUCAAGAGACGAAUGAUUUAUGCACUUUUUUAGAAACCUAUAUCCACUGAAUUUUGACACUUCUUCGAUGGCCAUGUAUUUAACCAUUGUGAAACAAUUUUUCGAAAAUAUAGUAAAUUAGUAAUACUGAUUUUAUAUUAAUAGUUAAGCAGUCAUCCGUCACCCAAUGAUAAAUAUUGUGUGUUUGAUCUUCAUGUACAGAGAAACGUAGAAGGUAAUAAAUAAAUUACUAUUGCAUAUAAUAUAUUAAGGUUUUGUAUAAAUAUUUACAUACUAAGAUCAAGAAUUUAUUAAGAUCUUCUUGUAAAGAGAAGCGUGGCACAUAUUUUGUACGCAAUAUUGAAUAACACUGAUUAGUGUAAUCAACAAGCUAUCAACUUCUUUUUCUUUUUAAUUGUCAAGUUCUUCCACUUACGAGUGACUCUUUUCUUUAUUCGUUUGUGGAUUCUAAAGAGAUUUUCACUACUAUAAGUAAUGAAAUUAAGUUGAAGCAUGACAUAUACAUGAUUUUCUCAUAGCUGCAAUUGAAUUUUGUCUGAUAAGUGUGUUUUUGCACACUUAUUUAGAUCACAAACAUGAUUUAAUUACGAGCAGAAUAUUUGAAUUGUGACUUAAUCUCUUUGAAUUCAUGCAAUGUAGGCGUUUCUAUGAAAAUGGUGGAAUUCAGGAGAAAAUAGCAGAAAAAGGACUAAAAUGGAGCAAAGUGAUAGUUCAGGGACUAAGAUGCAAAUAUUCAAAAGUUGAACUAAAAGGCAACCCGGGAAAGCAACUAUGCUAAGUAUGAACUCGAAAGUGAUACAAGAUGAUUGGAUCUAUGCGGUUGCAUGGAGGCCUCCCAAGAUUUUUUUCUCAAAUUUUUUUACUCUAUGCGACCACAUAGAAUGUACUAUGCUGUCGCAAAGAACAAGUUCUGGGGCCGAUCUGCAGUUUCCUCAUACGACUGAAACUUUUUUGGUACCCUAAUUUUCAUGCGAUAUAAAUACCAAAAGACAUCCGGAAAGAAGUAGAACGUAUUGGAGGCAGAAAAACACUUUUUGGAGAGGAUUUUGAGCAGAAGAACGAAGAUUUACACGAAGAGCUUCAAGAUUUCAUAACUUGGUGAUGCCUUUUAUCCAAAAUCUGAUGUAUUCUUUUAUUUUAACCAUGUUAGGCUAGAUUUUCAUGUGCUAGGAGAUCGAUGUACCAUGUAAUUUGAUUUUUAAUUUUCUAGUUUUGCAAUUUGACAUUAAGACAUAUUCCUAUUGUUUUGAAUGAUUUAUAUACAAUUAUUGUUUCCGCAAUUAAGGGCCCGUAAUUGUGUGAGUUUGGGUGAUUUAUUCUUGCAUUCGAGAGAAUUGGAAUAAGUUCGAUAUUGUAACGCCCCGACCCCUAGUGGACUGAAACGCUACUUACUUUACUUAGCUUAACCGGUGGUUUAGUAACAAGUGUAUACGUUUUAGUGGAAGCUUACAUCUUCGGAUAAUAAUUUAAAUAACAAUACUUUAAACAAAAACACUGAAUCAUUUUUCAAAACAACAAAAUGUAAUUUAUUUGAAGAAACAUAACUUGUUCUCGCAUUCUGCAUUAUUCAAAAUUUUAAAGAAAUAACAUUGGAAAACAUUUCAUAAAAAUAAAUCCAAAUCACUUAUUCACCAGAUUUCUAUGGCCUCGUUGCAUCACUCUCCAUCUUCUCCUCCAUCCAUGGCCGAGGUAGAAUUCCUUCAAUCUGUAGAGAUGGGAUUAAACCCGUGGGUUGAAAAACUUAAUAGGUGUCAUAGGUGCAUUCAUGAUCAAGCUAUACAUUUUAAAACAUUAACUUUAUAACUUUUCAUACAUGCCAUACCCGGAGGCACCAUUUGACAUGAAGGGGUAUGCCAUAUCCGAGGGUACCAUUUGACAUACAAACAUUUCUUCAACAUAGAGGGAUAUGCCGUAUCGGAGUACCAUUUGACAUAAAACCAUUAACAUAGAGGGAUAUGCUAUACCGGAGUACCAUUUGACAUACAAACAUUAACAUGAAUCGAAACUUAUAACUUAACACGAUUAAACGCAUUGCACCUCUACCUACUUUGAUUGAUACUUUUGAAACUUUGAAAACUUCGAUGAAACUUGGACGUUGAAAGAAAUGCACUCCAUGGAUGUUUGAAAACUUUUAAGAAUUGAUGCUUGAAGACACUCCUUGAUAGCACCCAAAACUUUUAUGAAAAAUGCUUGAAAACACUUCUUAAACUUCUCGGAAAAAUAGUUUUCCUCCCUCUCUUUUUCUCUCUUGGAAACUCUUUCUUUAGUAUGUAAAAGCUCUUGCUUUUUAUGUGAGAAAAAAUGAAUGAAAUGAGGUCUCUAUUUAUAGGUAAAUAUCCCAUAACUUAAAGCAAAUAAAGGGUCAAAUUUCAUUUAAGAGAGAAAACAUGGGUGCCAUUUAAGUUUGAGGUUAAAUGCUUCAAUUUAGUGGGUUUUUAUUGCCAAAAAUUUGGGUGGCCCUUUGAGAAAAUAAUUGAUGAAAAUAAAUAUUUAAAUUCUAGAGAAAAACGAGAAUUUUCAUUUCCGGUAGUUUCGGUCGACCGGUUGUAGUCCGGUUGACACUGUACAACUUUCAGUGUUUUUAUCAUAACUUCUUCUCCUGAUAUCCGAUUGAGGUAAUUCAAAGUGCAUCAGAAAGAAAACUCAAAGAGCUAUAACUUUUAUUUAGAUAUCAUUUUCCAAAUGAAAUGUUUCCUAUGUCGAAAAUGGGUCUCAAAUGAGACUAAAAAUCUGAAGUUUACUUUAGUCAUCCAAUAUUCAUGUCUUAGUGCCACUAAGGUGUCUAAAAUUAUUUGGGGUUCUACAGAUGUAAUAUAAAUCAUCGUAGGUCCGAUAGGGGAUAAAAAUAUACCGCUAUGCCUUACGUGAAUCUUUUAGUGUUCAUAAAACCGCAUGUAUUUUUACAUAUGCACUUGUCAUAGAAAUAUAGAUCGGUGGUAUGUAGAAAUAGGUUCGAUACAUCUCGAGAGAGAAUAUUGGAUAGAUUUAGGAACAUUGAUUCGUCACAAUUGAAAUAUGUUCACAUUGUGAAACUAGGGUUUUAAAGGCAUAAUUGCAUGAGAAAUCGUGAUCCUAGUGUUUAAUUUCUAUUGAUUACAACAAACUUGCAUUCUCAAUAUUUGAUUUCAUUUUAGAGUGUUAAAAAUAUUUUUUUACAUAGUUAAUUUAAUUCAAUCAUAAAAUAAAAAUUGUAUAAUUAGGGUUUUCUUUCCAAAAUUAGGGUUUUAAUUAGGUUUACAUUCACUUUAAUAAUUUAGUUUCGAUUAAGGCGACGAUAGGUAAAAUUGAACUAAUCAAUCUCUGUGGGACGAUAUUCAGACUCAUUUAAUCCACUUUAUUACUUGUUAACAAAUCGUACACUUGUGAUAGUUUUAAAUCAAAAGAAAUAAUUUCGUGAACAAGUUUUUGGCACCGCUGUCGGGGAUUGAGUUUAGUUUAAUUUUAUUUCUCGAGACUCUAAUUCGAACUUCAAAUUUUAUUUUGCUAGUAUAAUUUUGUUUUUAUUUUUACUUUAGGUUAUUAUCCUUUAUUUGUGUUUUAGUUAUUUAAAUUGUUUGAAUCUCAGUGCUCGUAGUGGUUUUGUUUCUCAGAUUUGCAUGCCACGAUCGACUAGAGGAGAAUUGAUUCUAGCUGAUUCUGAAAUCGAGCGCACCUUUCAUCGACUACAAAGAGAUCAUCGAGAAGCACAAGUACAAAUGGCUAAUGAACUAAACAAUCUCAUUAUUCAAGCUAAUGAAGGAGAGGCAAUGUACGGAGGAAAUGAGAUUCUGGGAGAUUUUUUGACUCCUCAAGUAAUUCAAAGUCAAUCCAGUAUAGUGUAUCCACCGUUUGGCCAGCCAAAUUUCUAGUUGAAGACCAAUGUGAUACAACUAUUUCAAGAUGGACACCAGUUUUAUGGCAAAGCCGAGGAGAAUCCACAUACACACAUAUCGCGAUUUUUGGAUAUGUGUCAACAUUUCAGAUACCAAGGGAUUUCAGAUGACACUAUUAGGCUAAGGCUGUUUCCACAUACACUACGAGAUAGAGCACUUAAAUAGUUGGAUUCACUUCCGGUUACAAGUGUCACUACGUGGAACGUGUUGGCACACAAAUUCUGCACAAAGUUUUUCUCCCCAGCCAAGAUAGUGAAGCUGAAAAUGACAUAUCAAUAUUCAGUCAAGGAGAAACCAAAUCAUUUGAUGAAGCUUGGAACAGAUUCAAAAACAUGCUCCGGAUGUGCCCUCAACAUGGGUUUGAUAAAAAGACCCAAAUCCGAUUCUUCUACAUAGGGUUACUUCCAUACCACAAGAGCAUGGUAGAUUCAGCGUCAGAUGACUCAAUAUCCACAUGAACAGUUGAUGGGGCAUUGGAAUUAUUUGAGAGAAUGGCUACCACAUCAUCCAUAUGGUCUUCUGGGAGGGUGAUUCCAAGGAAAACUCCGGGUGUCUACGAGGUGGAUACUUAUUUAGCAAUAUCUGCAAAAAUUGAUUCUUUGUAUCACAAUGUAGAAAGCAUAUCACAAGCAGACUAUGCACAGUGGGGACAACGCCAACAACACAAUCAAUAUGGAGAAUCUUUCCAUCCCAGUUGGAAGAAGCAUCCUAACUUCUCUUGGAGCAACCAGAAUCAAAAUAGGCUCCCGGGACAAUUUCAGCAAUAAGAGAAGAGGCCUCAAUUGGAAGAUAUGAUAGGAAAAUUCAUGGAGAAAGCUGAAGCUACACUUCAAAAUCAAAAUGCAGCCAUCAAAAAUUUGGAAACUUAGAUGGGGCAAUUGGCCAUCGUAUUGACUGGUAGAACGUCAGGUAACUUGUCGAGUAAUAUAGAAAUCAAUCCCAAAGAGCAAUCCAAGGCCAUUACAACUCGAAAUGGAGUACAAUUGCCUGAAAUCCAUGUUAAGAGACCGGGUGUGAUUGGAGAGACAUCUUCCCCUACUGAAGAGGAGACCGUUGUAAAAGAAUCAACUCCAAAGGAAAAUUCAGAAAAGUUACAAGAUAAGGCCAAAGACACAGUCAACCCAUACGAGCCUUCGAUUUCCUUUCCAUAGCGGUUGAAGAAGCAAAAAUUGGAGCAAUAGUACAAAAAAUUCCUAGAAGUCUUCAAAAAGCUCCAUAUCAACAUCCCACUAGUCGAUGUACUAUUCCAGAUGUCUAGCUAUGCAAAGUUUCUCAAAGAUAUUAUAUCAAACAAACGCAAGCUGGAGCACCAUGAGAUAGUAAUGCUUACGAAGGAAUGGAGUGCCAGAAUCCAGAAAAAGCUCCUACCAAAACUGAAAGAUCCAGGGAGUUUUACUGUUCCUUGCACUAUUGAUGAAGUCUAUUUCGAUAAAGCAUUAUGUGAACUCAGUGCAAGUAUUAAUUUAAUGCCUCUGUCUGUUUUUAGAAAACUUAGCUUGGGAGAAGCUAAAGCGACUAUUGUGACACUUCAGCUGGCAGACAGGUCACUGACACAUUCCAGAGGGAUAAUUGAAGAUGUACUUUUCAAGGUUGAAAAGUUCAUAUUCCCAGUGGAUUUUUUUAUUUUGGACAUGGAAGAAAACAAGGAUAUCCCAUUGAUACUUGACAGACCAUUUCUGGCAAUAGGGAGAGCGUUAAUUGAUGUUCAAAGGGGGCAGUUGAUCUUAAAAUUGGGAAAGGAGCAGAUAUCGUUUAAUGUAUUCAAGGCUAUGAAACUACUAGCAGAAUCAGAUAGAUGUUACCAAGUUGACAUCAUUGACAAGGUAGUACAAGAAACAUUCUUACUUCACGACCCAUCUGAUGCCUAUGAGGCAUGCAUUAUACAAUCCCAAUCCGUUCAAUCAGAUUCUUUUGAAGUUGAAACAUGUGCGAGAUUUUUGGAGACCAACCCACCAUACACCCGAAAAGAGCAAUUUGAGGAACUGGGGAUGAGAAAUACAAAGCCACUGUCUUUCAUUCAGUAACCACCAGUUUUAGAACUCAAGCAACUACCGCCACAUCUCAGAUAUGCAUAUUUGGGGGAGUCAGAUACACUUCCAGUAAUCAUUUCAAACACAGUCAGUGAGUUGGAGGAAGAAAAAUUGCUCAGGGUACUCAAAGGGAACAAGACAACGAUUGGGUAGACAAUAGCUGACAUUAAAGGGAUUGGCCCUUCUAUGUAUAUGCAUAAAAUUCUAAUGGAAUAAAAUUGAAAGCCAAGAUAGAGGGUCAGAGAAGAUUGAAUCCUAACAUGAAGGAAGUAGUCAGGGUAGAGAUACUAAAAUUAUUGGAUGCAUGAAUUAUCUACCCAAUUUUAGGUAAUACAUGGAUCAAUCCAGUUCAAGUGGUGCCCAAAAAAGGGGAAUCACAGUGGUGAAAAAUGAGAAGAAUGAAUUAAUUCCCACCAGAAUAGUUACGGGAUGUAGAGUUUACAUCGAUUAUUACAAGCUCAAUGCAGCUACACAAAAGGAUCACUUCUCAUUCCCAUUCAUUGAUCAGAUGUUGGAGAGGUUGGCUGGAUAUUCACACUACUGCUUCCUUGAUGGAUACUCAGGCUACAAUCAAAUACCUAUCGCACUAGAUGAUCAGAAGAAGACCACUUUCACUUGCCCCUAUGGUACUUUUGCUUAUCGUAGGAUGCCUUUUGGUCUUUGCAAUGCUCCAGCCACAUUUCAGAGGUGUAUGAUGACAAUAUUCUCUAAUAUAAUUGAAAGGUUUAUUGAGGUUUUCACGGACGACUUCUCAGUGUUUGGAUCUUCAUUCGAUGAAUGUCUAGAACACCUAAAUUCGAUCUUACAGAGUUAUGAAGAGACUAACCUGGUUUUAAAUUGGGAGAAAUGCCACUUUAUGGUGUAAGAAGGCAUUGUACUCAAGCAUCGGAUCUCGGGAAAAGGAAUUGAGGUGGACAAGGUAAAAAUUCAAGUUAUUGAGAAGUUACCAUCGCCUACAAGGAGUUCGCAGCUUCUUGGGGCAUGCGGGGUUCUACAGGAUAUUUAUAAAAGAUUUCUCAAAGAUCACUAAGUCAUUAUGCAAUCUGCUAAUGAAGGAUAUAACCUUUGAGUUUAAUGAGGAAUGUCUCACAGCAUUCAACACAUUAAAGGAGAAGCUCACGUCAGUACCAGUAAUUGUGGCACCAGACUGGGAACUGUCUUUUGAAUUGAUGUAUGAUGCCAGUGAUCACACCGUGGGUGCAGUAUUAGAACAGUGGAGGAACAAGAUUUUUCAUUUGAUCUACUAUGCAAGUAGAACUCUAAAUGAUGCACAAAUCAAUUAUGCCACCACUGAAAAGGAGAUGUUGGUCGUGGUAUAUGCAUUCGACAAAUUCAGAUCAUACCUUGUCGGGUGUAAAGUCAUCAUCUACACAGAUCAUGCUGCAUUGAAGUAUUUGCUCACAAAGAAGGAUGUAAAACUGAGAUUGAUUCGUUGGGUGCUGUUGCUGUAAGAAUUUGAUAUCAAGAUAUGAGACAAGAAGGGCAGUGAGAACGUAUUAGCAGACCACCUAUCCCGAUUAGAGCUUGGGGAGACGGAAGAAUUAGUGGACAUCAAUUAGAUCUUCCCAGAUGAGCAGAUGUUGAGAAUAGAUGAAGCACCUUGGUACACAAAUAACGUCAAUUACUUGGCCAAUUCCAUCCCACCGCCAGACUACUCAAGUCACCAGAGGAAAAAGUUCUUCGUCGAAUUGAAGUAUUAUUUCUGGGAAGAUCCAAUUCUCUAUAGAUGAAGGGCUGAUCAGAUAGUAAGGAGAUGCAUACUUGAGGAAGAAGUACAUGAGAUUCUCAAGCACUACCACUCAUCUGCAUAUGCAGGGCACUUUGGGGCUUCGAAAACAGCUGCAAAGAUUCUACAAUCAGGGUUCUACUGGCCUACACUAUUUAGAGAUGCCUUUGAGUUUGUCAAGAGGUGUGACAGAUGUCAACGCACUGGAAAUAUCUCGAGGAGGAAUGAAUGCCACUGAAUAACAUUUUGGAAGUGGAGAUAUUCGAUGUUUGGGGAAUUGACUUCAUGGGACCUUUUCCCCAUUUAUUCUCAAAUCAGUACAUCUUGAUAGCAGUGAACUAUCUAUCAAAAUGGGUAAAAACAGUUGUACUACCAACAAAUAACUCAAAGGUAGUAAUUAGGUUCUUGAAGAAAUAUAUUUUUACCCGAUAUGGUACACCGCGAGCUAUAAUCAAUGAUCGGGGCAAACACUUCUGUAAUCGUCAGUUUGAGCAGUUGUUGAAUAAAUAUGGUGUUAAACAUCAUGUUGCUACCCCAUAUCAUCCACAAACCAGCGGGCAAGUUGAAGUAUCUAAUCGGCAGCUGAAGAGAAUACUCGAGGUCACAACUCAUCUAGAAAGGACUAGUCUAAAAAGCUGGACGAUGCAUUUUGGGCUUACAAGACAGCAUUCAAGACACCGAUAGGCAUGUCUCCAUACCACCUAGUUUUGGGAAAAGCGUGCCAUUUGCCACUAGAAAUGGAGCACCAGGCAUAUUGGGCUAUGAAACAGUUAAAUAUGGACUUGAGUGCCGCUGGUGAAAAGCGCCUACUGCAACUUAAUGAGUUAGAUGAAUUUAGCAUAGAAGCUUAUGAAAAUUCAAAACUCUAUAGGGAACAAACCAAGAAGUGGCAUGACAUGCAUAUUUAGAGGCGAGAAUUCGAAGUGGGUAGCAAGUACUAUUGUAUAAUUCGAGACUCAAGCCGUUCCCUGGAAAACUACGAUCAUGGUGGUCGGGUCCUUACACUGUCACAAAAGUCCUACCAUAUGGGGCUAUACAAGUCAGCCAUGAGACUAAUGGUACUUUCACUGUUAAUGGGCAAAGGCUGAAACACUACUGGGGCGGUGACUUCUCCAACCAAAAGUUCACCAUUAACUCGGGACGUCAGAAUAAAGCAGCUGUAGAAUAGUCGAGCCAUCGACUAUAACCCAGUGCUGGGUGGAAAGCAACCCACUGUAUCUUUCGAUUUAUUUUACUUUUCACAUUAUUUUAGGAGUUGUUUAAUUUUUGCAUUUGCAUUUUUUUUUGCUAGGUCAUCAAUCUUUCACGCAUACUAGUCUAAGCAUUACACACAUAAGGUGGCAUGAGUGAAGUUGAUUGAAGUUGUUUUGGGGGAUUGAGUGUGAAGUCAUGCAUUUCGAUGCACAAAGUCAUUCUUCAUAAAAAUUUUCAGAAUGCAUUUUAAGUUUAUUCCAUAAAUUGGUGUUGGUGCUAAGUCCUUCAGCAAGCACAUAUCCCAUUGAAUCGGAAGUUUCUAAAUUUUUCAGGAAUGAUAUUAAACAAGUCAAAUUUUUAAUUGAAAACCAACUUCGGGGAAAAUUUUAUUUAAGGUGUGUUUUGGGGGUUAAAAUUGUAAUUUUGAUUUUUUUUCAUAAUUUAGAUUUUGAAGAAAAAAAUGUUUGUCUAUGCGACCGCAUAGACAAAUGGUCUAUGCGGUCGCAUAGACCAUUACCGAAAGCAAAGUGGUCCCCAUAUUGUUGUACUAUGCGACCGCAUAGUGCAACACUAAUAGUGACCCAGUUACAGGUCUUAAACCCGUAACCCACCUAUUCCACACUACUUCCUCCCAUCACCCUCGUAAUUUCACAGUCCAUUGUUAUUAUUGACUAAUUGUUGCAUGACGCAUGCUUGAUGAGUGAGUGUUGAUUAUACUUUUGCAUACUUGUGUGGGCUUGAUAGCCUUACCGGCUAUGAUGUGAUUCUUGGAUUGGUAUAAUUUAUAAACUUUGGAUAUUGUGCUGCAUAGAUUAACCAAUACUUGGGAUGUAAUACUUGACAUUCUCUAUGCAUGCUUGACAUAUUAGGUGAAUGACUGGAUUUUGAGCAUAAAGUAGGAAAAGAAUGAUAACCCUCUAUUGAAUUAACACGUAAAUCACCUUAAGAUAGUUUGAAAUUGGUUUAGCUAUUAUAGGGAGUAUUGAGAUAAGUGGAGGCUCCGUGCAUGAAAUUUUAUUGUGUGGAUUGCCUAGACCAGUGAGGUGAAGUUUAGGUGAAAAUAUUAAAUUGGGGGUUGGUUUUGGAAACUAAAUAUCUAGAACAAUAACGGCGUAAAAUUAAUUUGUGAGAAUAAGACACUUCUUUUCAUGCCUUUAUGACUUGAGCAAGUAAGCCUGUAAGGAUAUUUCAAAAUCUGGUCCCCUAAGUUAACUGACCUAGGAGUCACCAGCCUAAAACUCGCUAAACGGGUCAUAUAGAAAGCAAGAGGGAAAAAAGUUAAUAAAAAGUCAUCUAAACAAGCCUUUAUAACUCGAGUGAAUAAGCCUGUAAGGGUUUAAAACUUGGUGCCCUAAAGCUAACUGGUUUGGGAGUCACCGGCCUAAAGCUCGUUACAUGGGUUAUAUAGAAAGCAAAUGAGAAGAUGAUAAUAAAAAAUUAAAAAAAAAUGGAAAGUGAGAAAAACAAAAGAGAGACAAUAACAUGAAGAAAAAGCCCUUAGACAUUUGGUUGAGGAAACUAUACCUUCGAGGCGAGGCAAGUAAUCUAUUUUAAUCUUGAUUUUCAAAGCAAUCAAAUUUGGGAGAGCCUUCACUUGUUGACAUGUAAACUUGUGAUAGUGAGAUUAAUCCAAACUACGAGAGGGUAAAGAUUACAUCUAUGUAAACUCCUAAUUUUAAAACACAACCCCGGAAUAAUUGAGUGAAAGGAAUAAGUUUGGGGAGUUGUGUAUCUCCCGAGCGAGUAAGGAUACAUUUGACCACUAGGGGUCGGGACUCAACCCAUCAUGAAUUUGAUAUGUUGGCAUGAAUUCACACACUCACAUCAAGUAUACAUUUAACAUGUAAAGGUUGAUGUCAUUUUUGCAUUGAUAAAUUUUCAUAAAGUCAAAUACUUAGUCAAAUCCUGAGUCACGAUAGGGUAUUAAGUCAUGUUUGUUCAGAAUUAAGUCACCAUCUUGUUUGAGAACAAAUAAUAGUUCAAGUUUGGGGGGUUUGAUAAGUGUGUUUUUGCACACUUAUUUAGAUCACAAACAUGACUUAAUUACAAGCAAAAUGUUUGAAUUGUAACUUAAUCUCGUUGAAUUCAUGUAAUGUAGGUAUUUCUAUGGAAAUGGUGGAAUUCAGGAGAAAAGAGCCGAAAAAGGACUAAAAUGGAGUAAAGUGAUAGUUCAGGGACUAAGGAUGCAAAUAUUCAAAAGUUGAGCUAAAACGCAACCCGGGAAUGCAAAUAGGUUAAGAAUGAACUCGAAAGCGAUACAAGAUGAUUGGAAUAAGAAGGAAAGGGACUAAAAUAAAGAAAAAUGAAAGUUCAAGGACCAAAAUAGACAUUUUGCAUAGUUGGCAGCACUGUGCGACUGCAUAGUGCUACCCUCUACGUGGUCGCAUAGAGGCUUCCCAAGAAUUUUUUCUCAAAUUUUUUUUACUCUAUGCGACCAUUUAGAAAUGUACAAUGCGGUCGCAUAGAAGAAGUUCUGGGGCCGAUUCUGCAUUUUCCUUAUACGAUUGAAACUCUUUUGGUAACCUAAUUUUCACGCGAUAUAAAUACCAAAAGACAUCCGGAAAGAAGCAGAAUGUAUUGAAGGCAGAAAAACACUUCUUGGAGAGGAUUUUGAGCACAAGAACGAAGAUUUACACAAAGAGCUUCAAGAUUUCUCAAGAUUUCAUAACCCGGUGAUGCCUUUUAUCCAAAAUCUGAUGUAUUCUUUUAUUUUAACCAUUUUAGGCUAGAUUUUCAUGUGCUAGGUGAUCGAUGUUUCAUGUAAUUUGAUCUUUAAUUUUCUAUUUUUGCGAUUUGAUAUUAAAACAUAUUUAUAUUAUUUUGAAUGAUUUAUAUGCAAUUAUUGUUUCCACAAUUAAGGGCCCGUAAUUGUGUGAGUUUGGGUGAUUUAUUCUUGCAUUCGAGAGAAUUGAAAUAUGUUCGAUAUAAUAUAAAUCAUCAUAGGGUCCGAUAGGGAAUAAAAAUAUACCGCUAUGCCCUGUGUGAAUCUUUAAGUGUUCAUAAAACCGCAUGCAUUUUUACAUAUGCACUUGUCAUAUAAAUAUAGGCCAGUGGUAUAUAGAAAUAGGUUCGAUACAUCUCGAGAGAGAGUAUUGGAUAGACAUAGGAACAUUGAUUCGUCACAAUUAAAGUGUGUUGUCACAUUGUGAAACUAUGGUUUUAAAGUGAUAAUUGCAUGGAAAAUCGUGAUCCUAGCGUGUUUAAUUUCUAUUGAUUACAACAAACGUACAUUAUCAAUAUUUGAUUUCAUUUUAGAGUGUUAAAAAUAUUGUUUUGCAUAUUUAAUUUAAUUCAAUCAUAAAAAUUGCAUAAUUAGGGUUAUUUCUUUCUAAAAUUAGGGUUUUAAUUAGUUUCACAUUCACUUUAAUAAUUUAGCUUCGGUUAAGACAACGAUAGGUAAAAUUGAACUAAUCAAUCUCUGUCGGACGAUAUUCAGACUCAUUUAAUCCACUUUAUUACUUGUUAACGAACCGUACACUUGCGGUAGUUUUAAAUAGAAAGAAAUAAUUUCGUGAACAUUGCCUAAAUUUUCUUUGCUCAUGUUUUAUACCCAAUAUUGAGCAAGACCAAGCUAAACAAUAGGUAUGUUUUUCUUUCUAAUGAGUGACAUUGCACUACUUUGACAGGGCUGUUUUUCUUGGGAAGCAAUGUGCAAUAUGCUGAAGCCCAAAAGAAAGUUCGCCCAAAAAAUUGCCUCAAAAUUGGGUACAUGACUUGCCCAAAAUCUGGUUCAAGGAGGCUUCAUCCAGGCUGCACAAACUGUUGCAAAAUCAAGAAGGGUUGCAAACUUUAUCGACCUAAUGGAAGCCUUAUUUGUACUGGAAAGUAAUUUGGAUAUGAGAUAAAUCUUGAAUAAACUAUCAUAUGUUUGUACUACAAACAUGCAAAAUAAAUAAAUGAAUCUGCUAUGUUUAUGUGAAAUGAAAUACAAGAUUCAGGUUUAAUUAUAUUGUUGGAUGUUGUUUCUAUGAAAUUAUCUUUUACAUAAUUACUUCUCUAAAUUUAUUGGGUGAGACUUAGAUGUUGUAUACUCUUAUAUUGAUCUACGAUAGCAAAGAGUUGCUGUGGAAACAGUAUAUACCAUAAAAUAAAUGGGGACACUAUAAAAAUUGAGUCGGAAUAAGAGAUUAUGCACCUAUAGAUCUCUUGAAGAUAAAAUUUCCCCUGGCACAUAGAGGUAUGGAGAAUAUACAUUGUAGAAAAGAGAAUAAACAUCCAAAACAGUAACGAAAAAAUUACAAAAUGAUUUAUUUAUUUAUUUAUUUUUUUAAGUUGCAAAAUGAUAAGAAGCUAAUAACUGUAACUAUAACGGAUAAAAAAAAUUAUUGUAAGAUGCAAAAUAGUAAUUAAUAUCAAAAACUGUUUUACUUGAUAUCUUAUUUUAUUCGUCAAACAAAAUUCGUUAAUAUAAUUAAGCAUUUCCAUUUAUCUAUUCACAAUGUCUGGAAAAAAUCAAAGUAAUAGAGAUUUUUCUAUAUUUUUCAAUACAUAAAUAAAUUACUAAAAUUGUUUUUGUUCAUUGAAAAACUGGAGCUCAAGGAGAAUGGAGAUAAUAAAUUGUAUAUAUCUCACAAAAAAGAAGACCAUAUUAUGAAGAAAAUUUAUUUAAAUAAUAUAUUACGGCUUCUAAUAAAUUAAAUUUAAUAAUAAUAUAUAUAAUAGUUAAAACAGACAUGAUGUAAAAAUAAGUAAUAUAUAGUGUGAUCAUUUUGAACAAGGGUGCGUUCAGCUGUUUAUGAUGACAAAUUUGUUGACUUUUCUAUUCCUUUUCAAUGAUAAUGGUUUCUUUUGUUACAAAAAGUAGAAAGUGUUACGAUAUUAAAGUGUGAAUACACGACAAACACAUGGUAUUUAUAAAGCGGUGUGCUAAAAAUAAUUUGUCAGCCGUUUCUAUGUAUAUGUGAUCAUUUGAAGCUCUCCAUGGAGAAUUGCGAAGUUUAUUCCUAAAAGGGUUGGUGAGAGAAAAGGAAAUAAACACUACAAUUUGUUGACCAAUGUAAAAAUAAUAAUAAAAAUAAGUUCCACGAACUCCAUUGUAGAAAAGAUAAGUAUUGCGACUUUUGUACAAUCAGUAAAUCUAUCAAUUGUUGAACAAGUUAUAUGGAGGCACAAAAAAUGAGUCCUAAGUUCAAAUUCCCACUAUUAUAUCAUAAAUAAAUAAACAAAGUAUUAUAUUCCUUAAACCAAUCAAGUAUAAUUAAAUCCGCAAUAUCAAUACGCAAUAGUAAUUUAAUUUUUUCUUGUACAAGUUCGAGAAAAUAUAGCAAGUUGUAGACAGACUUGCGCUCUCCUACUUUUUUUUUUUAACAUUGAAGUACAACUUGGUGUUGGACUAAUGAGUUACAGAUCAAGAGUGCAAGUUUCCCAACUAUUUACUAGUAUGAGAAAUUAAUUUGUUUGAACAAUUCAUACACUGGAGUAUUAUCAUUUUUUAUCGUCUUAUGGUCUAAAUUUUAGCUAGGGUUUCUCAUUUAUUCAUGAUAUAAGAAUAAAUUGAAGAUCAAAUCUAAGUCCUCUUUGAUUUAGGAUCCAACAAGCAUUUUGUUACGUUACUUAAAAUUAGGAGUUCAUGUUUCCAGAUUUUGUUAAUUUCUUGAUUUUAAAAAAGUUUGCUUCCAUAAUUGAUAUUCUAAAAAUUUAUUUAACUAAAGCAUCUCCACCGCUAAAAUGGUUGUCACAUAAACUAAAAUCGAUAAUUUCUACAAAAGUACAUCUCUAAUAUAGAAUAUCAAGAACUAUGUCUAGCUGACGUAACAAUAGAAGUAGAUAGGUGCAUACGGUCACCACAAUUUAAUAUUUCUAUGUCUUUAUUUCUCUCUACUUUUUCCUAUUUUUCUGUCAUUAUUUUAUUUUCUCUCCUAUGAUAUAUACUUUAGUGAUGAAAUUUGAUUAUGGAAAAAAAUCAUUAAAGAUGAAAUUUGCACGAGGUCAUCUAUUCAUUAGAUCUUAAUGUCCCAUAUAUGGAAAACCAUUCUAUGUCACCCUAAUGACAAUCCAUGAAUAAAUUAGAGAACCUCUAAGAUUCCUUACUGUUCGCAAAAAUUACUGAAUUAGCAUUUUCAAUCUAUUGCAAUCUUCUGGAGGCAAGUAUAAGUGGACUGUAAAUGCUUCAAGGAUUGCGCACUCAAGUGUCUGCUAAAUUUUUUAUAGAAUUCUUUCUGGAGCAUUUCUUUUGUUCCUUGUUUUCUUGUCAUAUCUCUUCAAUCAUGAAUUGAACAUAAAGUAUGCAAAAAAUAUGCACCCUCAAUAACUAUACUAUCAAGAUGACUUUCGAAUUCUGAUGUUCGUUGCCAUAAAUAAGCGUAAAUUACACUUAUCACCAAACUCUCAAUAUAUUCUACUUAUUCUCAAGUUUUUGUUAAAUAUUCCUUAAUAACCGAAUGUGAGUCAAUUCAUAAUUAAAACGUUAAAAGGGUGACUUUAAUCCAUGUAUUUUACUUAAUUAAUUCACUUUAUCAAAAUAAUAAUAAUAAUAAUAAUAAUAAUAAUAAUUCCUUUUCCUACACUUGAUUAGGUAUAUCACGUGAACUUUAAUAAUCUUUAAUGUUGUGAAUUAACAUGUAUUUGUAAGUUUGAAUUGGUUUUUGCUUACGGACCAUGCGUGGACUUUCUCUUUACAUAUAAAAAAGUCAUCACCUAAUAAUACUACUUUUACCCUAUAAACAACUAAAAAUAAUAUGUACUAUGUUGGGUUUUUGACCCAAAUUAGAGUGGAUUUUUUUUGAAAAUAAAUUAUUUCCUUAUUUUUAUAUGGGAAAAUUUGUUUCCUUGUAUUUCACGUGAGUUUUAUGGAAAUAUAUUAUUUCCUUAUUCCACAUUAUUUCGAUCUUUAUGCUAUGCCAUGUACUUAUAAAUAGUAGUAUCCUCUUUUAGUUUAGUAGAAGCCAAAUUGCUUGGUCGUUGUAUUGUCUCCAUAUUGUCAAUUAAUAAUACAUCUUGCCUCUGCGUUAAUUCUUCCUUUUUUUCCUUUACUUUAUACCUUGAUAUAUAUUUUUAUAUUGUUGCAAUCCAUAUUAACUUCAUAUCGCAUCAUUAACUUCAUUCUUUACAACCCGUCGAUCCCAACAAGUGGUAUCAGAGUUGGGGUCUUCUGUGGAUUGGUUGAAGUUUUUCAGAGAUGGUUGCCAUGAAGUUUGAUAUUUCCCUGCUCGAUUGCAAUACAAGAUUUUUGUCGUGGCAAGUAAAGAUGAGGGUUAUUUUGGUGCAGUUAGAUUUGGACGAUGUGUUGCUGGGUUUUGAGAAGAGCCAGCUAAUUGGACAACGGAGGAGAAACAACGAAAGGAUCAGAAGGCUUUUUCAUUGAUUCAUCUUCAUCUAUCCAACAAUAUUAUGCAUGAUGUCUUAAAAGAGAAAACGACUGCUACUUUAUGGUUGAAACUAGAGCAGUUGUGCAUGACAAAGAGUCUUACUAGCAAACUGGCUCUAAAGCAAAAGUUGUAUUCCCAACACAUGGCAGAAGGAAGGUCGUUGGAAGACCAUAUUGCCCUGUUCAAGGAAAUUAUCGCAGAUUUGGAGAUGUUGGAGGUUAAAUAUGAUGAAGAGGAUCUGGCCUUGAUCCUAUUAUGUUUGCUACCGGACUCUUAUGCAUGGUUUCAGGACACCACAUUGUACAGUCGGGAUACAUUGACGAUAGACGAUGUCUAUAAUCAUUGCACUCAAAGGAGAAGUUGAAGCAUUUGAUUGGUGAUACAUCAAGUGAUGGGAAAGCUCUUGUAUCUCAUGGUGGUCGAUGGAGGGGCAGAUUUAGGGAGAGAAGCAAUGUGUAUUGCUUCUACUGCAGAUGGAGAGGACACUUGAAGAAUGAUUGUGAGAAGUUGUAGGCUAAAGGCGAUUUAGCUGCAAAACAUAGGGGGUAAUCAUGGAAUUUCGGACGAGACUAAUGUGACCGAGGAUUUUUUAGAUGGCGGAGAUGUGAUGUUGACUGUGGUUUCUGACGUGGAAUCUAAGCCUGACGAGGAAUGGAUUCUUGAUUCGGCAUGUUCGCACCAUAUGUGUUUCAAUAGGAAUUUAUUUCAAACAUAUGAGGUUGUUCAGUAAGGUGAAGUUGUAAUGGGGAACAACAAGUCUUGCCCUAUUGCUGGAAUCGGUCGAGUUAGAUUGUGGUUGCCGGAUGGGAUGGUUAGAACACUUGGCCAAGUUCGAAAUGUUCCAGACCUAAAGAGAAAUCUCAUCUCGCUAAGUACCUUGGAUGCAAAAGGUAUAAAUUCUUUGGUGGAGGUGGAGUCUUGAAGGUUCGAAGAGGUGUCCAGGUUAUAAUGGAGGAACGGAAGAGAUCCCAGUUGUACAUAUUGCAGGGAAGCACAAAACUAGUUUUGAGACAUUAGGACAAGUUCAGUACCAUGGUGGAUAUACAGAUUGGUGCAGUAACUCUUGUGAUCGGCUCUAGAUCAGUUCAGAAUACUGCUAAGGAGAGCGUUGGUGAUUUCGCUUUGCUACCAAUUUCAGCGGAUGCACUGUGUUCAAAUGUCAGGGGUGGACUCAUGGAGCAUAGGUACGGUGGUGUUAUUGAUAUCUAUGAUGCUUUUGGGAUCGUUGAAGGUGACAGUUCUGACAAAGGGUCUUCUGAUCAAGCACUUGGUUUGGUGUCUGCUACAGGGUGUGCUUUGACCUUGUUUGGCCAACAGUAAUUCCUUGGUAGAAUUUUGGGAACUCGGAUUUGGGUUUAGGUGUCGCUUGUAGAUGCCUUGCAGAGGAAGAUGGUUUAGUUAGGAGAGUUUUGAUUACUAUGUUGAGGAGAUUGGCUAUUUCGAUGCAAAUGGAUUUGAAAUCUUGGAAUUUCGUUCGUUGCACCGAAAUUUGGGUCACGGUGGAGAUUGUUGGGUUUUUUACCCAAAUUAGAGUGGAUUUUUUUUUGGAAAUAAAUUAUUUCCUUAUUUUUAUAUGGGAAAAUUCGUUUUCUUAUAUUUCACGUGAGUUUUAUGAAAAUAUAUUAUUUCCUUAUUCCACAUUAUUUCUAUUUUUAUGCUAUGACAUGUACCUAUAAAUAGUGGUAUCCUCUUUCAGUUUAGUAGAAGCCAAAUUGCUGUGUCAUUGUAUUGUCUCCACAUUGUUAAUUAAUAAUACAUCUUGCCUCUGCGUUUAACUCUCUUUUCUUCUUUACUUUAAACCUUGAAAUACAUUAUUAUAUUGUUGCAAUCCAUAUUAACUUCUUAUCGCGUCAUUAACUACAUUCUUUACAACCCCUCUGUCCCAACAUACUAAGCAUAAUUCAGGAAGCAUGGCUAAUAUCAAAGUUAGCAUCCUUACUCUCCUCCUAAUCUGCGGUAUGGUUACUGAUCUGUGCACUUUUUUGUAACUUAUAUUGGCUGAAUUUUGACACUUCUAUGAUGGCCAAGUAUUUUAUCAUUGUGAAACAAUAUUGCAAAAAUACUGUAAUUUAGAUCUUAUGAUAUUAGUUAAGCAGUCAUCUGCUGCCCAUUGGUUAAUAUUGUGUGUUUUGAUAAAGAGAAGCAUUGAAGAAGUUGCUUGUGCAUAUAAAGUAUUAAGGUUUUAGAUAAAUUUGUACAUGCAUGCAGUUGAAUUUAUUGAUCAUUUUCUUUCUAGACAUUUUUCCUUCAUUAUUAAGUUUUUCCACGGCUAAAUUAAUCUUUUCUUCAUAUGUUUGUGGGAUCUAUAGCGAUGUUGCAAUACUAUAAGUUAUGCCAUCAUGUUGUAGCGUGACAUAUACAUGAUUUUAUCUUAACUGCGUAUUGAAUUUUCUCGAAAUUUUCUUUGAUCAUACUUUAUACGCAAUACUAGACAAGACUGAGCUAAACAAUAGGUUUGAUUUCAAUAUUAUGUUUUCUUUCUAUGGCAGGAUUGUUUUUCUUGGGAAGCAAAGUGCAAUAUGCUGAAGCCCAAAGGAAAUUUUGCCCACAAGUUCGCCUCAAAGUUGGCUACAUGACUUGCCCAAAGUCUGGUCCUAAGAGGUUUCAUCCAGGUUGUACAAAUUGUUGCAAAGUAAAGCGAGGCUGCAAACUUUACAGAUCUAAUGGAAGCCUAAUUUGUACUGGAAAGUAAUUGGAUAUGAGAUAAAUUUUAAAUAAACUGUCGUGUGCUUAUGCUAUAAACAGGCAAAGUAAAUAAAUGAAUCUCUUAUGUUUCUGAGAAAUAAAUACAAGAUUCAGGUUUAAUUGUAUUGAUGGACGUUUUUUCUAUGAAAUUAUCCUUUACAUAAUUACUUCUCUAAGUUUUUUGGGUGAGACUUAGUUGUUGUAUAAUCUUUUAUUCAUCUACUAGCCACCCAC
This 43903-nucleotide long non-coding RNA is filed under the name Olea europaea subsp. europaea. Lineage: Eukaryota; Viridiplantae; Streptophyta; Magnoliopsida; Lamiales; Oleaceae. The record is from RNAcentral.